GAUGAACGCUGGCGGCGUGCCUAAUACAUGCGAGUCGAGCGAACGGACGAGAAGCUUGCUUUUCUGAUGUUAGCGGCGGACGGGUGAGUAACACGUGGAUAACCUACCCAUAAGACUGGGAUAACUUCGGGAAACCGGAGCUAAUACCGGAUAAUAUUUUGAACCGCAUGGUUCAAAAGUGAAAGACGGUCUUGCUGUCACUUAUAGAUGGAUCCGCGCUGCAUUAGCUAGUUGGUAAGGUAACGGCUUACCAAGGCAACGAUGCAUAGCCGACCUGAGAGGGUGAUCGGCCACACUGGAACUGAGACACGGUCCAGACUCCUACGGGAGGCAGCAGUAGGGAAUCUUCCGCAAUGGGCGAAAGCCUGACGGAGCAACGCCGCGUGAGUGAUGAAGGUCUUCGGAUCGUAAAACUCUGUUAUUAGGGAAGAACAUAUGUGUAAGUAACUGUGCACAUCUUGACGGUACCUAAUCAGAAAGCCACGGCUAACUACGUG
Molecule: ribosomal RNA, 497 nt
Filed under: uncultured bacterium
Lineage: Bacteria
Description: partial 16S ribosomal RNA
Rfam family: Bacterial small subunit ribosomal RNA
Source: RNAcentral